AGAGCUGCUGCCCCACAAACUUCACCCACAGCAACCAUGACUUUGGUCUCCAUCUUCAUCUGGACGCUCACCCUGUGGACUCAAGGGUCAUUUGGAGACAUAAUUAUGACUCAGACUCCAGGAUCUCAGACUGUUUCACCAGGAGACUCUGUUACUAUCAGCUGCAGAGCCAGUCAGAACAUUGACAACUGGUUGGCCUGGUAUCUGCAGAAACCUGGAGAAGCUCCUAAACUCUUGAUCUAUUAUGCUACUAACCGUCAGUCUGGUGUUCCAGAUCGUUUCAGUGGGAGUAGCUCUGGUACAGAUUUUACUCUAAAGAUCAGUGGAGUUCAGUCUGAAGAUGCAGGAGAUUAUUACUGUCAGCAGUAUAACAGCAGACCGUUCACACAGUGUUAGAGCGCAAUACAAAAACCUCCCUCAGCUGUAGAGGAACUGCUCUGACUCAGAAACUCUCACUGAUCUGAGAACAGCUGCUGAAGCUGCACUCAGCUGAACUCAUCAACUCCAAAACAGUACAGUAGUGAGCACUGUUCUCUCUUUGGAGGAUUCUUCUCACUGUGGAACAGGAUCUUCAGCACUAGAUGGAACAUCUCACUGCAUUUUUGGAAUCUCAGCUAAUCCUGUGAACUCAAACACAGUUACAGUGUAAAUACAUGAGACGGUCACACACAGAGUCUAUUUCUUCCUUUUCUUUUUCAGGAGCUCCUCAGAUACUCAGAUAUAUCAUCGUUUGCUUCAUGAGUGCUCACAGGUUUUUAUAACUUCAUGAAUUUGAUAAUUUUGGAUCAGAAGUGUACUUAGCAACUCUUAAGGAUUUUGAAUGUGGUUCAUUUCAUGAACUGCUAUAAAAACACAUAA
Molecule: non-coding RNA, 858 nt
Organism: Pygocentrus nattereri (red-bellied piranha)
Lineage: Eukaryota; Metazoa; Chordata; Actinopteri; Characiformes; Serrasalmidae
Source: the annotation of a RefSeq genome assembly